This 558-nucleotide ribosomal RNA is filed under the name uncultured bacterium. RNAcentral describes it as "bacterial SSU rRNA". It matches the Rfam family "Bacterial small subunit ribosomal RNA", at positions 102 to 695 of the family's 1533-position model. The record is from RNAcentral.
ACGGGUGCGUAACGCGUGGGAAUCUGCCCUUGGGUUCGGAAUAACAGUGAGAAAUUACUGCUAAUACCGGAUGAUGUCUUCGGACCAAAGAUUUAUCGCCCAGGGAUGAGCCCGCGUAGGAUUAGGUAGUUGGUGGGGUAAUGGCCUACCAAGCCGACGAUCCUUAGCUGGUCUGAGAGGAUGAUCAGCCACACUGGGACUGAGACACGGCCCAGACUCCUACGGGAGGCAGCAGUGGGGAAUAUUGGACAAUGGGCGAAAGCCUGAUCCAGCAAUGCCGCGUGAGUGAUGAAGGCCUUAGGGUUGUAAAGCUCUUUUACCAGGGAUGAUAAUGACAGUACCUGGAGAAUAAGCUCCGGCUAACUCCGUGCCAGCAGCCGCGGUAAUACGGAGGGAGCUAGCGUUGUUCGGAAUUACUGGGCGUAAAGCGCGCGUAGGCGGUUACUCAAGUCAGAGGUGAAAGCCCGGGGCUCAACCCCGGAACUGCCUUUGAAACUAGGUGACUAGAAUCUUGGAGAGGUCAGUGGAAUUCCGAGUGUAGAGGUGAAAUUCGUAGGA